GGAUGCGAUCAUACCAGCACUAAAGCACCGGAUCCCAUCAGAACUCCGAAGUUAAGCGUGCUUGGGCGAGGGUAGUACUUGGAUGGGUGACCUCCUGGGAAGUCCUCGUGUUGCAUUCC
This 119-nucleotide ribosomal RNA is filed under the name Triticum aestivum (bread wheat). Lineage: Eukaryota; Viridiplantae; Streptophyta; Magnoliopsida; Poales; Poaceae. The record is from RNAcentral.